GACGUAGGGCGCGAGCGUUGUCCGGAUUUACUGGGCGUAAAGAGCGCGCAGGCGGUCGUUCAAGUCGAGUGUGAAAGCCCCCGGCUCAACUGGGGAGGGUCACUCGAUACUGAUCGACUUGAAGGCAGGAGAGGGAAGCGGAAUUCCCGGUGUAGUGGUGAAAUGCGUAGAUAUCCGGAGGAACACCAGCGGCGAAGGCGGCAUCCUGGACUGGUCCUGACACUCAGGAGCGAAAGCGUGGGGAGCGAUCCGG
This 253-nucleotide ribosomal RNA is filed under the name uncultured bacterium. Its description in RNAcentral is "partial 16S ribosomal RNA". It matches the Rfam family "Bacterial small subunit ribosomal RNA", at positions 524 to 776 of the family's 1533-position model. The record is from RNAcentral.